Long non-coding RNA from Wyeomyia smithii (pitcher-plant mosquito), 884 nucleotides. RefSeq lists it as uncharacterized. The record is from RefSeq and is a predicted model, not a curated record. NCBI's taxonomy places the organism in Eukaryota, Metazoa, Arthropoda, Insecta, Diptera, Culicidae. The transcript is spliced from 3 exons.
UCUCAUUUGUAAUUGUCAAAAUGUGCGUGAUUACAAAAGCAUGCUUCUAUCUUUUUCUCACGCAAAAACCAACCAAAUAUUAGCAACACCGUCAACGCGAAUAUCAGCAACGCCGUAAACGCGAAUUGUUUUUCAUUACCGAGUUUAUUUUUCAUUGCCGCUAAAAUUAUCAAAAUUAUCGCGUUGAAGAAAAAAGCUAUUGUUAUUGGUUAAAUAAGUGCUCAGUGUCAAAAAUUUAUUUACUUUUCGAUGUCCGAAAAGAGAAUGAAUAAAAUUAUGAAAAUUUUUUUGGAGAGAGGCUUGCGAGAACCCGGAGAACCCUGCGCUAGCGAUUCGAAGCGAGCGACCCGGAACAUCAAAUCCAAACAGAAGACUACAACAACAACACAACGGCUAUGGAAAUAGACAGCAAUGAGGAACUUGCAAUGAGUGAAAAUGAGGCAAGAAUAAGUUUAACCGUAAAAAAGAAAAAAUCUGCUAAACGCUACGUUCAACAAUACAAAGAAGUCUGGGAAAAAGAGCAACCGUGGCUUGAGCAGCGAGGAGAAUCUGCAUACUGUAAGGUUUGUGAAUCUUCCUUGAAAUUUGAAAACGGAGGGAUAAAGGAUUCACGAACACAUCAAAGACAGGAAACUCACAAAAAGGCUGCAUCAGCAAUUUUAAACCGAAGCAAUGAUUUGAAGAAAAUGCUACCAUCAGAACUAGCAACUGUAGAUGCGUGCAUUCGAUUAUGCUUGUACGCAGUACACAAAAAUAUUUCGUUCAGAGCUAUGGACGAACUCAUACCGACAUUAAAAGCAUCCUUUCCUGAUUCAAAAAUUCUUAAUUCAGUGAGAAUGUGCCGCACGAAAGCGGCAAGAAUUAUAAUUGCAGUGACUGGAGAA